UAAGUUUAAAGUUCAAAUUUAUAUUUCGAGAAAAUUAUUAAAAUCAGAAGUUGAAUAGUAAUAAAAAAAUUUUUUUACAAGUAGUUAGAUUUUCGUUCGUUGCAUUAUUCUUUAUUAAACCAUACAAAUUUCACGGAGUCUAUGCUUGUUCCACUAAUAUUGAGAAUGCAAAGAAACGAGCCACUUGCGUAAAAGGAUCUUCACAUAUAAAAUUAUGAUAUGCAUAUUUAAUAGCCAUAAAUAAACCCAAAAUGUGUUACACGAAAGGAAUAAAACGUACUAAGUAUUCCAUUCAGCGAUACUAAAAGAUCCACCAUUAUUUUUGAAGGAAACUGUCUUGUAACGUAUCUCUUGGGACGUCGUCUACCAUUUUCUUGAAAGGCUACAAAUAUUGAUAACACGUAUGAUCCAUACGAAAUGAAUGCUACAAAACAUGCUCACGAAAAGAAAUAUCGUUCAACGUUCAUAUCACGAUGAAUAUAAAGGGAUGUUAACGUCGCCUGAAAAAUCGAACGUUCCUGAAUUCGUUUCUUUCACAUCGUCUUUCACAUAGAACUCACAAACCUCGACGUACGUUUUUCCACUAACGUUUUCAGCGGUAAUUUACUAGGAAAAAUUACUCGGACGAUUCCUCUGGUCGAUUCAUAGUUUUUUUCCAUGUAAAAGGAAAAAAAAAAAAAAAGAAAGAAAGAAAAAAGAGAAAGGGUGAGAGAGGUUAGGAAGGAGGCGACUGAUAAGCUCAAAUGGAUCCCACUUUAUCAUGGUGAGAGAGUAGGGGUCAGAGUUACUCAGGAGGUUUAUCUAGGUAGUACAAGGGCUUACGAUGUCACGCGAUCCAAUUUGACAGUAUAAGUGACAGGAUAGAGCAUUUACUCGAGAUCAAAUAAGCCUAUAUGGAAUGACAUUUGGAAACAAGAAACCUGAUGUAAUGCGUAUUAACUUCGUAUGGUGAAACAAUCACUAUGCAACGUAUUAAUCAUGAUUAUUUACAUAUAUUUCUCUAUUUGUAAGUAUAUAAUAUAAUACUCCUUUUAGUUAAUAGACGAUAACGAAACAUUAUCAGAGAAGUGAUAAUUGAUUAGAAUGUCUGUACAAAAUGAUGUAAGAUAUAUAGUAAAAAUUUAAGAAUUUGUAAGAAUUAUAUAUGGAAAAAUUAUAGGAAUUAAUGAUGCAUUAACUGUUAGAAAACUACUAAAAAAGUAUUCAGUGAAGAAGUAAAAUCGAAUUUUCAUUAAAAAUGAAACGAAUACCGUAUAAUAAUAUAAAUUAUAAUAAUGAUAAUACUAAAUAGUAAGAUAAAAAUUUAAGUUUAUCUUGUUUUAUUCAAUACUUAUAGACAGGAGAGUAUAUUUUACUUUUCUUGACAUAUAAAUAUACCAUUAGUUUAUCUUUCCACGAAACCAUAGCUGCGAAUUUCAUUUUGAACUUCUAAGUCAAAUGUUUGUAAAGCCUUGCCACAAAAAACAGGGCUUCCAGAUUUAUCUCGAACUUCGAAAAUCAAAUAUUUAUACGAUCGUCCGUAAAAAUAGGAUUUCAACUUACUUUUCAGUUUCUAUUUAGCUUUUAUUUGUUCUACAAUUAUUUAGGUUCUAUUGUACUUUUACAUGAUAUUUUUGUUUCGUGAAAAGAUUAUGCACUCCAAUAGUUCAAAAUUUUGUAUAUCAUGUAAAGUUUUUAUCGAAGAAAAAAAAAAUAAAAAAUGAAAAUAUAAAAUCAUCGUUGAAAGUUUUUAUCAAAGUUAAAUUAAAUUAAAUUCACUGGAAGGUUGUAGGUUAGUUGUUUCUGUAUCUCUAUUAUUACUGACAUUGUCUCAUUUUCAGCAAGAAAAACGAGGAACACUGGCAACCUCACAAAAGGGUAUGAUGAGAACUAAUGAUAAUAGUAUCCUCGAAAAAGAGAGUUAAAAUACCAAGAUCAAAAAACAACUGUGAAGAAAAUGAAGAUUUAUAUAUUUAAAUAAUUUAAACAAAUUUUUCUUUUAUUUGACAUUUAUAUUUAGAUAAGUAUUUAUUGAAAUAUUAAGUAUGUCAGUUUUCGAUUCGAAAGUACACUUUUUUUUUUUUCAUACAUUUGAAAAUAAGAAUGUGCUAUCUUCUGGUCAUAAAAGAUUGUAGUGAGGAUUGCCUGUUAUAAAAUUCUUUUACCAACUAUUCAAUCAUUGGAAUUGAAAUUGGAGAUAGUUUUGACAGAUCGAUCAGGAACAAUUAACGAGUCAGCAUCGUUAAAGAAACAUGGUGCCAACAAAGCUUUUCAAAUAUUGCGAAAUUGGUCGAUAUCUCUACCUGUUGCAUCGUUUUAGUCGCUUACAAUACCUGACUGUGACAUCUGUGACGUUUCUUUUAUACGUUUAUUUUUCCGUAAAACUUGACGAGUAUCUUUUCUUAAGAAUAAUGUAUUCUUUUAUUAAAAAUAAAAUAAUCGAUGUGUUACAAUUUUAGCAAUAGCUACAAACAUUCGAUUUUUCGAAUUCUUUGAAUCAAAAACUCUUUUUUCGGAGGAAAAGAAAAUUGACGAUUGCUCUUCUUUAAUCGAAAGAAAAAGAAAAAAGAAAGAAACGAAGAAAAAGAGAGAUCUCUCAAUCUGAAUUUCGCAAAUGAAUGCAUCGAAUGCAUACGAUGCAUUAAGUCCCAACCGCAACGAAUGCAUUGUAAAGAGAGAGGGGAUGAAGGGUCGAGAGUGCUCUCGUUUGGAGUUUCCUCCUUUUAUCGGAAACGUUCGCGGUAUCCGAGUGAAAUGGGUUUUAGCCAAGUGCUACUAUAAAUUCUAUUUGUUCCAGUGAAAACAGUAAUACAUCAUGGCUUCUUACGGCAAUUAUGUCUGCGUCUGAUUAACCAUGUACGAUUAUGCAAAAGCUUCAAACAAGUAUAUAUAUUUCUGGAACAAAGAUCAUUGCACAACGAUUUUGAUAUAUCUCGUUAAUAAAAUGAGGAAACUCGAGCAGAAUUUAUUAGAAAAGCAAACGUUUUCAGAGUUUAUUUUACAAAUUGGAAGAUCUCAAUUUACUUUAUACUUUUAUAGUCAAAUUAAUUCAAGUUUUAUACGAUAGCAGCAAUAGCAGAUAAUUUAGAAAGUUAUGUCGUUUUGAAAAGGAAGGUAAAAUAUUUUAAAUAUAAUUAAAGAUUCUACGUAAACAAGAUUUAUUUUUCUUGGCGAAAAUACAAUUAUCUACUUUUUUUUUUUAUUAAUUCUCCGGCAAUGGCAGAUAGCAAACACGAUCUUUAAAAAAUUUCGAUCCAACUAGAGUCGUCUACUAUUUUAUACGAUACGAAUAAUUUUUUGGUUGGCUUUCCAUUUCUCCGAAUUUUUCCCCGAUAAGAACGUAUUCUGCCGUUGACAUAUUUGAUGUACGAGGGUAAGGCAUUCACCAGGAUAACCGGAAAAAAUUGUUGCAACGUAUUCUUCGGACCAUAUUACUUCCGGCAGUUUAUAAAAAAAAAAAAAGGAAAAAAAGA
Molecule: long non-coding RNA, 3452 nt
Filed under: Apis dorsata (giant honeybee)
Lineage: Eukaryota; Metazoa; Arthropoda; Insecta; Hymenoptera; Apidae
Description: uncharacterized LOC116186740
Source: RNAcentral